RNAcentral lists this ribosomal RNA (996 nucleotides) under Escherichia coli. RNAcentral's name for it is "partial 23S ribosomal RNA". It matches the Rfam family "Bacterial large subunit ribosomal RNA", at positions 1935 to 2925 of the family's 2925-position model. RNAcentral also lists the same sequence under 1 other name. Lineage: Bacteria; Pseudomonadati; Pseudomonadota; Gammaproteobacteria; Enterobacterales; Enterobacteriaceae. The record is from RNAcentral.
CGUAACUAUAACGGUCCUAAGGUAGCGAAAUUCCUUGUCGGGUAAGUUCCGACCUGCACGAAUGGCGUAAUGAUGGCCAGGCUGUCUCCACCCGAGACUCAGUGAAAUUGAACUCGCUGUGAAGAUGCAGUGUACCCGCGGCAAGACGGAAAGACCCCGUGAACCUUUACUAUAGCUUGACACUGAACAUUGAGCCUUGAUGUGUAGGAUAGGUGGGAGGCUUUGAAGUGUGGACGCCAGUCUGCAUGGAGCCGACCUUGAAAUACCACCCUUUAAUGUUUGAUGUUCUAACGUGGGCCCCUUACCGGGGUUGCGGACAGUGUCUGGUGGGUAGUUUGACUGGGGCGGUCUCCUCCUAAAGAGUAACGGAGGAGCACGAAGGUUGGCUAAUCCUGGUCGGACAUCAGGAGGUUAGUGCAAUGGCAUAAGCCAGCUUGACUGCGAGCGUGACGGCGCGAGCAGGUGCGAAAGCAGGUCAUAGUGAUCCGGUGGUUCUGAAUGGAAGGGCCAUCGCUCAACGGAUAAAAGGUACUCCGGGGAUAACAGGCUGAUACCGCCCAAGAGUUCAUAUCGACGGCGGUGUUUGGCACCUCGAUGUCGGCUCAUCACAUCCUGGGGCUGAAGUAGGUCCCAAGGGUAUGGCUGUUCGCCAUUUAAAGUGGUACGCGAGCUGGGUUUAGAACGUCGUGAGACAGUUCGGUCCCUAUCUGCCGUGGGCGCUGGAGAACUGAGGGGGGCUGCUCCUAGUACGAGAGGACCGGAGUGGACGCAUCACUGGUGUUCGGGUUGUCAUGCCAAUGGCACUGCCCGGUAGCUAAAUGCGGAAGAGAUAAGUGCUGAAAGCAUCUAAGCACGAAACUUGCCCCGAGAUGAGUUCUCCCUGACUCCUUGAGAGUCCUGAAGGAACGUUGAAGACGACGACGUUGAUAGGCCGGGUGUGUAAGCGCAGCGAUGCGUUGAGCUAACCGGUACUAAUGAACCGUGAGGCUUAACCUU